This is a long non-coding RNA of Parus major (Great Tit), 4513 nucleotides long. RefSeq lists it as uncharacterized. Lineage: Eukaryota; Metazoa; Chordata; Aves; Passeriformes; Paridae. The record is from RefSeq and is a predicted model, not a curated record. The transcript is spliced from 3 exons.
AGGAAUGAGAACCAGAAGGAUCUUUUUUCAUUGACUGAUAGGUCUUAUUUUUCUGGAAAUCAUCAUAUACAGGGAGUAUCCUGCCAUCAGUCUGUGCCAAGAACUCACAUCGACAUCAAUGGGAGUUUGGAGUGCAUUGUGCAGGUUCAUUUGAAAGGGAUGCUACCAAGCCUAAAAGAGGGAGAUGACAGAAUUUUCUAUGGGUAAAUGUAUCCUAUUUAUUAUCUUCAUUAAUGGUUUGUAGAGAAAAAAAAAAAAAAAAUAACAGUGAUCAUCAAAUUUGCUGAUUAAACAAAGGUAAAUCACCGUGGAAGGAGAAGAAGACAAGGAGUGAUGGAUGACUCUGCAAUACUAAAAAAACAUAACAAAGUGUAAAAGACUAAUAGCACUUUUUGCCAUUAGCCCAUGAGCUGGAUGCAGCACAGAAAAGGAAGGUAGUGAUAUACUGACUGAUGACAGAAGUAUGAAGCCUCAGAUGGUGAUGCAUCUCCAUCUACAAUCUACAGACAGAUUAUGCCUGUCCCUGAUGUCUGCCUUCCCUCUUGUCCCCCACAAGCCCUGCCAGCUGAAAACCCAUGGCAGUAGCCCAGUGCAAGAGCAUGGAGAGACCCCACAGGGGCUGCACUGUGUGACUUGGCACUCUUCAGAGACAGAAAGGGAUAUGGAAUACAAAUUCUCACAUCUGAGCUAAAAGUGAAACCAACUCCCUUGGCAAGUCCCACUUCUAUAAGGUUACUUGCCAUAGAGGGUGAGGAAAGCAAAGUGUCUAAAAAGCAUCUUUAUAGGACUCGGGUAUCUGCUCUCAGGCAAGGAUUAUGACCUGUUGAUAGAAGCAUGACCUGAAGAGGUGAUCAGCCCAUCUAUUCCAUGUUUUCCUGCACUUGGCCUUUCCCAUUAUCCUGGAUGCUCCAUGACAUGAAUGUAUGGAAGCAACGUCUGUGAUGAGCAGUGCCCAGGGCAGUGCACCAUCUCAGCAUCUAUCUCACUGGGAAUGUGGCAUGGGCAUCUGAUUAAUCAACAGGAAUCACUGAAAAACCAUCACUUCAAGCUCAAUUCUAUCAAUGGCAGACCUAAGCAGGCAGUACAUAUGCAGGCAGACAUAUUCAGGACUCUCUUUGCCAUAUGCUCCACAGUACCUGUAAUAUCCAAUUUAUACCAGUCUAUAGAAUAACCUCCUCAUAACCACAGAUAACAGAGAUUGAUGAUAUUGUUCAAAGGACAUCAAACAGGUUUUGAACUUAUUAAGAAGAAUGAGCACAGCAGAAUUUGAGACACCUGAUGUUGGGAUAUUUCAUGUUUCUAAAGUAUUGCAUAGCUUUCCUUACAUUCUUGGAGACCUUAUUUGUUCCUGGUUUACAAUGUUCCAGAAGGAAAAAAAUACACCCUUUGGCGUACAGGAUGAUUUUCAUUUCACUGAUGAACUGAUAGCUGAGUUGUAGCUUUUAAUACCAAAAUAAUUUUAGAAAUCUAUAAUUUCUAGUUUAUCUGAAAUGGGAAAUAUAGAACUCAUUUUUCAUUUGCUAAUCUAACUCUGUUGCUGUCACUGUACAGAAACGGCAUGUGUUCAAAAAAAGAAGUGAGCAUCCAUUAAAAGCCUCUGCAAAGGAGAUGCAGAAGUGCAGAUUGCUGUAAACCACUGAGAUUGCUUUUCAAGAGGAAACUUCUUGUUCAAGGCUUUGCUUUCAACCAUAGUUUUUGCAAAGGAAUGGAAUUCCUCAGGAGCUAAAGAGAAUCCUUGCCCUUCAAUCCAAAAAUGUGUGCUCAGGGGUGACAGUCUCCAGAGACAAAGAUGCAUAAACCCUAAAUGAUUACACUUCAAGCUCUCUUAGAAAGACACAUCCACUGCUACUCACAGGGAUCCAUACCAGAUAAGUGUGGUUUGGUAAUAAAGAUAAUGGACCUCUAUAAUAGUUAGCCAGAUCAUUUUGCACACAUAUUGAGCAAGGAGUGAAAAGAAAGCUCCCACCUAAGUAACUCGUUUUGAAGAAAUACUCCAGCACAUGUAAAGCUUACAUGGAAAUUUUUUUUCCCUCUCUUUUCUUGAUGUAUAAUGAGGGAAAAAAAAGUAGAUUUGUCAAACUUGGAACAUUUUUCAGAAAUCUUUAAUUUCAAUUAAUAAUUCCUCACCUUAGGAUACUGUUUAAGUUUUUUGGCCCAGAACAUUCCCUCCUAAUUCCCUCCUAAAAAGACAAUGGACACCUAAAUAUCACAAGUUCUGUGGAGUCCCACAUUCAAGUUCCUGUCAGACCAUUAGACCUUCCCAAAUGAACUAUAUGAACAUCUAAUAUGUAGUUAUUCAUUGAAAAUGCACAGGGCUGACAAGAAAGAUUUGAAUUUCCAUGUGAUAAAAACAGAGAUGCUUCAGAGGCAUGUUCCUCAGUGGAAAUAUUAUUCUAAUUAUCUCAUGGUGAGGUGGAAUACACAGACCAAUUUUUAAAUGUGCAUUUUAUUCCAUUUCACCACCAGUGAUAUAGCAGAUGAUUAGACUGGGCUAGAUUUUUAACCAGAAUAACAGUAGCCAUCUUGACUGAUGAGAUGCCGGUCUUAGGUAGGGGGAUUUUUACUCAGUUGUGAAAUGUACUAUUUAAUUUGACAGUCAGUUUUCAAUGUCACUCAAAAUCCGAGACUGGGAGUGGUAGUGGAAUUUUAAUUCAUUUUUGAGGUAUGUCACAGCUCCCCUUAUUAGAGAAAAUGGAAGUCAGAAUCACAUGUUUUUGUUUAGAAAUAGAGGUCUGCUUAACUUUAGGUUUUAGAAGGCAGAAUGACUUUCACUGACACCAUUUAGUCUGUUUUUAAACCAUAAUAGGGUUUCACUGAAACCAUUUUACCAUCAUAACCUUACAUUGUAAUGGCUUCAUAAUGGCACUGUCAGAAAGGUCCUUAUAGACUUGCUCUGAAAUAGUUUCCCUAUAAUAACUUCAUAUCUCUGACUUCAUUGUAAUGAUUUCAUCGUGAGGUCAUGGACUAGCAAUGAAUCCCUUUUGCCACUGAAAUCUUAGAGCUCCUCAUUACAGCCUCAGUCACCACAGAAUUGUGAUGGGGCUCCACUGGAUAACAAUGAAACCGUUUCCUUAUGAUGCAUUAGGCUCAAAUAAUAUCACCACCCUAAUGAUCUAGUCAGGGGUUAGGAAAGAGUGAGCCACCCCUUGCUCUUUUCAGUGUUUCAGUUUGGUGUUUGAUGCCAAGGGCUGAAGGUGUGUGGUUUGGCUUCUGAACUGCCGCCCCUUCUCUUGGAAUUGUGAAUGGUGGCUACACACCCUGCAAGAACAGCCAAUUCUAAAAGAACAAAAAGAGUAAGAGAGCUUUUUUACUGCUUCUGGGCCCCAAUUCAGCAAACACUUAAGUUCGUUCCUCUUUAGCAACAGGUCUCUGACUAAUUUUAAGCCUGGAUUCAAAUCUCCUUAACUCCAGCAUGAUCUAAAUACAUGGGCAGGUGGUUUCUUGUGUCAAGUCAGACUUGUGAACAUUGUCUGCAGCACUGAGCUCGUGUUCUCACAUGCUCAACCUAGCUGCUGCAAGAAAAAUCCUGAAAAGUGAUGCAGGUUCUGAGCUCCUGCCAGGGUCAGUGGAACCAUCAGGCCCUACAGAUGUGGAUUUACAGGGAGUGCCCUGCAACAGCCUCAGCUCUCCCAUCAAAUCCACAGCCCUCCAAUCCCACAACUCUCCACUUCUACAGAAACUUGUACCUACUCUGUUUAUUCAGCUUUCUUUGAUAGAACAAAUACUCCUGAUAAAACUUCUUUAAUCAAGCUGACCUAAUGAAGCAGACUACUCCCUCUAGCCUCUCAGCACUGGCUAUCUUCUGCCAGAAUCCUAAAAUCCUUGCUGUCAUUUUCCCUUCCUUGUGGACUUUAAAAAGUAUGUUCUCAACAGACUUACAUUUUAGGCUACUGAAACCUUGAGUUACAAUUGUUCUGCAAUUGUCCCAUCACAAGUUUCACACUGGCUGAUGUUCCUUGUGCUGUCACUGCUAAAAUCCUCCCACCUUCACAUCACUUGCUGAUGCUGACUUAAAAAAUAAGAAAAACCAAUUCCCAAGUCAAAACACAAGCUAUCCAUGUAUUUUCUACCUCACAGAAUAUGAAAGGAACCUAGGGGUGCUGAUGCACAUGAAAGCUCCUUAGAGCUAAGUAGAAAAAUUGGAAAAAUGUAGUUGUCUUAACAUCUCAGCUUCUCUAAAACAGAUGAUGGGGAAGCCAGGCAAUGGGGGUAGGCGUGGGCUCAGCCAUGCUUGGCAUUACUUCCUUCAGUUUGAUACAGGUGGUAUUAUUAAUGGAACCUGUAAUGGUAAAUAUAGGGUAGAUUUUUUUUUUUUUGUUGUUGUUACAGCUAUCUCAAAUGUUAUUUUUCUAGGUUUAUGCAUGGAUAUGAGAAUAUGUCCAGAAUAACACUGUAACCCAUGCAUGUCUUUACAACUUGUAUCCACCAAGAAAGUGAUAGUCUGUAAAAACCAGGUGGACAGUGAACUCUUUUAGUUAGUUGCAAUCUGAAAAAUAAAAUGGACUCAAAUCAA